Molecule: ribosomal RNA, 292 nt
Filed under: uncultured bacterium
Lineage: Bacteria
Description: partial 16S ribosomal RNA
Rfam family: Bacterial small subunit ribosomal RNA
Source: RNAcentral
GUGACAGCAGCCGCGGUAAUACGGAGGGGGCUAGCGUUGUUCGGAAUUACUGGGCGUAAAGCGCACGUAGGCGGCUUUGUAAGUUAGAGGUGAAAGCCUGGUGCUCAACACCAGAACUGCCUUUAAGACUGCAUCGCUUGAAUCAUGGAGAGGCGGGUGGAAUUCCGAGUGUAGAGGUGAAAUUCGUAGAUAUUCGGAAGAACACCAGUGGCGAAGGCGGCCCGCUGGACAUGUAUUGACGCUGAGGUGCGAAAGCGUGGGGAGCAAACAGGAUUAGAAACCCCCGUAGUCC